UACGAGGGGGGCAAGCGUUGUUCGGAAUUACUGGGCGUAAAGCGCGUGUAGGCGGCUCUUCAAGUCGAGUGUGAAAGCUCCAGGCUUAACCUGGGAAUUGCGCUCGAUACUGUUGAGCUAGAGUGUGGAAGGGGCUACUGGAAUUCCGUGUGUAGCGGUGAAAUGCGUAGACAUACGGAGGAACACCUGCGGCGAAGGCGGGUAGCUGGGCCAACACUGACGCUGAGACGCGAAAGCUAGGGGAGCAAACGGG
This 253-nucleotide ribosomal RNA is filed under the name uncultured bacterium. RNAcentral describes it as "partial 16S ribosomal RNA". It matches the Rfam family "Bacterial small subunit ribosomal RNA", at positions 524 to 776 of the family's 1533-position model. The record is from RNAcentral.